GUACGUGAAACCGUUCAGGGGUAAACGGGAGAAAUCCUGAAUUCGAAGGGGAUUGGAUUCAACGUCAGGCCGGCUGGACAAGGCCACCUUGCCCCGCCAGAUGUCGUCGGCCGCCCGCUCUGCGAUUAACUUCGCUUGCGGUGUCGGUCCCGGCGGUCACUCGGCGGGGUGGUGUUUUGCACUGGCAGCGGCGGCGCGCACUUCUUCCCUUGUAGAAACGUCGCGACCCGUUGGGUGCCGGUCUCAAGGCCCUGGGAUGGCAGACCGCGUCGUCCUGCGCAGCGAUGCGCAGGCGCGCGGACUCUCGGUGACCCGGCCGGCUGCCCGACGGUAUGACCAGAGGAGUCGAUCCGCUAUUUGUGAAAACAUGGGAAAAACACUGUGGUUGUGUAGCGUCCGGCCCGGCGCCGGCGCGCGCGUGGACUCGGGUGUCCGUGCAGAAGCACGGCCCCGUUCCCGUCGCGUCGUUCGGCGUCCGGUGUCCUCGGACAGGAUCAGUACUCCCGUCGGCGACGCCCACCUUCGGAUGG
RNAcentral lists this ribosomal RNA (530 nucleotides) under Phasmatidae gen. 2 sp. 2 TRB-2010. RNAcentral describes it as "eukaryotic LSU rRNA". The record is from RNAcentral. Lineage: Eukaryota; Metazoa; Arthropoda; Insecta; Phasmatodea; Phasmatidae.